RNAcentral lists this ribosomal RNA (493 nucleotides) under uncultured bacterium. Its description in RNAcentral is "bacterial SSU rRNA". It matches the Rfam family "Bacterial small subunit ribosomal RNA", at positions 30 to 517 of the family's 1533-position model. The record is from RNAcentral.
AUUGAACGCUGGCGGCAUGCCUUACACAUGCAAGUCGAACGGUAACGCGGGGCAACCUGGCGACGAGUGGCGAACGGGUGAGUAAUGUAUCGGAACGUGCCCAGUUGUGGGGGAUAACUGCUCGAAAGAGCAGCUAAUACCGCAUACGACCUGAGGGUGAAAGCGGGGGAUCGCAAGACCUCGCGCAAUUGGAGCGGCCGAUAUCAGAUUAGGUAGUUGGUGGGGUAAAGGGCUCACCAAGCCAACGAUCUGUAGCUGGUCUGAGAGGACGACCAGCCACACUGGAACUGAGACACGGUCCAGACUCCUACGGGAGGCAGCAGUGGGGAAUUUUGGACAAUGGACGCAAGUCUGAUCCAGCCAUUCCGCGUGCAGGAUGAAGGCCCUCGGGUUGUAAACUGCUUUUGUACGGAACGAAAAGGUUUCUAUUAAUACUAGGGGCUCAUGACGGUACUGUAAGAAUAAGCACCGGCUAACUACGUGCCAGCAGCCG